AGCAGCCGCGGUAAUUCCAGCUCCAAUAGCGUAUAUUAAAGUUGUUGCAGUUAAAAAGCUCGUAGUUGAAUUUCGGGAUCAAUAUGUUGGUCGUGCCUUGGUACGUACUAGUUUAUUGGUUUCUUCCUUCUGACGAACCAUGAUGUCAUUAAUUUGGUGUCUUGGGGAAUCAGGACUGUUACUUUGAAAAAAUUAGAGUGUUUAAAGCAGGCUCACGCUUGAAUACAUUAGCAUGGAAUAAUGAAAUAGGACGUUUGAUUCUAUUUUGUUGGUUUCUAGGAUCGACGUAAUGAUCAAUAGGGAUAGUUGGGGGCAUUAGUAUUCAAUUGUCAGAGGUGAAAUUCUUGGAUUUAUUGAAGACUAACUACUGCGAAAGCAUUUGCCAAGGAUGUUUUCAUUAAUCAAGAACGAAAGUUAGGGGAUCGAAGACGAUCAGAUACCGUCGUAGUCUUAACCAUAAACUAUGCCGACUAGGGAUCGGAUGAUGUUAAUUUUUUAAUGACUCAUUCGGCGCCUUACG
This 520-nucleotide ribosomal RNA is filed under the name uncultured Glomeraceae. RNAcentral describes it as "SSU rRNA". It matches the Rfam family "Eukaryotic small subunit ribosomal RNA", at positions 569 to 1092 of the family's 1831-position model. Lineage: Eukaryota; Fungi; Glomeromycota; Glomeromycetes; Glomerales; Glomeraceae. The record is from RNAcentral.